CGGCCGCGAGGCCCGCCCGGCGCUCGCGGGCUGGGGGCCGGAAAGCUGGGGCGACUCGGCGCCGCGACGCGAGGUCGGCGCCAGGAAGAGCCACGGGCGCGGAGCGUACCCCCGUACCCACACACACCCACGCCCCUGCGGCCUCGCGGGGGAGAGCCGCGGCCGGCUGUGCGAGAGCGGCCCUCUGAUUGUCCCCUCCCAGGAUCGCCGUAUGCUGGGAUCAUUCCGUUUCUGGGCCUGCUGCAGUCCCCCCUUCAGUACUUCCAACAUACGACCGCCGACUGUUAGACGGUGUGCUGCCAGACAACCAUUGCAAAAUAUCUCAUUUCUUGAACAUCGGGCUAUUUACCCAGAAAAAGCCGUCCCGUCGCUAUUUUUCAAGACCUUUCUCAUCUGACUCCUGACCUGAUAACUCCCCAGGAGUGCGGUAAGGAGAUGGAGUCUUGGAAUAUUGCCCAGGCUUGACUUCACAAACUCCUGGGCUCAAGCGAUCCUCCCGCCUCAGCCUCCCAAGUGGCUGGGACAUGCCACUGCACCCAG
Lemur catta (Ring-tailed lemur) is the source of this 540-nucleotide long non-coding RNA. RefSeq lists it as uncharacterized. The record is from RefSeq and is a predicted model, not a curated record. The transcript is spliced from 3 exons. NCBI's taxonomy places the organism in Eukaryota, Metazoa, Chordata, Mammalia, Primates, Lemuridae.